RNAcentral lists this small RNA (78 nucleotides) under Mustela putorius furo (domestic ferret). RNAcentral describes it as "7SK RNA". It matches the Rfam family "7SK RNA", at positions 14 to 92 of the family's 331-position model. Rfam says of the family: 7SK was discovered as an abundant small nuclear RNA in the mid-70s but a possible function has only recently been suggested. Two independent studies have found that 7SK RNA binds the CDK9/cyclin T complex (known as elongation factor P-TEFb). The record is from Rfam by way of RNAcentral. Lineage: Eukaryota; Metazoa; Chordata; Mammalia; Carnivora; Mustelidae. RNAcentral also lists the same sequence under 1 other name.
AUCUGGUUGCAACAUCUGUCACCCCAUUGACACCAGGGUUGAUUCAGCUCAUCCGGCUGGUUAGACAGGUGUUGCCUU